Molecule: long non-coding RNA, 594 nt
Organism: Triticum aestivum (bread wheat)
Lineage: Eukaryota; Viridiplantae; Streptophyta; Magnoliopsida; Poales; Poaceae
Exons: 2
Source: RefSeq, a predicted model, not a curated record
AUAGCGCUAGAGACUGGUACCUGCUUCAGCGAGAACGUUAUGACAGUGUGACAAGAGAGUUAAAAAACUACAGCCGUGAGGUUGUGUGGACUGAAAGGCUAGCUAAGCUGCUUAAUGUGGUAUACGUGCUGGGUAUGCCUUUUAUCGUUGGCCCUUUGGUCUUAAAAGGGAUUGCCAUUCGGAGAAUGUGAGGGGGUAGCAGCCAUACACUGCUUCGUUUAUUACUGCUGAUGCAUGUGAACUCGUAGUUCAGCACUCUCUUUGUGUUAACUGCCUGACUUGCAAGAGCAGAUAACCAUAUGGGAAUAAUGGCUUGUUGCGUCUGUGUCUUGACCCGCAUUGCGUCGCGGAUAACCUCGUGAUUAUGGCUUUAUGUAGAUUUGUGCAAGCGUAGUUGUUUGCUGUAAUGGUUUCUUGCACUUGUUUGCCGUUAACUUAUGUCUGUCCCUAUGGAGCUACUGUUUCUGAGUGGUGUUGGGUUUCUCCAGGUGCGCUUUGUUGGCCCUGAUUUAUGUACACUGGACUGCUAUGUGCAGCGCCAACUUUGCUCUGUGCAGAGCUAAGCUAUUAGCGAAAUCAUAUGGCUUAAGAUUA